CACGUAGGGGACGAGCGUUGUCCGGAUUCACUGGGCUUAAAGGGCGCGUAGGCGGGUGCUCAAGUCCGGGGUGAAAUCCUCCAGCUCAACUGGAGAAUAGCCUUGGAUACUGGGCACCUCGAGUGAGGUAGGGGCGGGCGGAACUUCCGGUGGAGCGGUGAAAUGCGUAGAUAUCGGAAGGAACGUCGGUGGCGAAAGCGGCCCGCUGGACCUCUUCUGACGCUGAGGCGCGAAAGCCAGGGGAGCAAACGGG
RNAcentral lists this ribosomal RNA (253 nucleotides) under uncultured bacterium. RNAcentral's name for it is "partial 16S ribosomal RNA". It matches the Rfam family "Bacterial small subunit ribosomal RNA", at positions 524 to 776 of the family's 1533-position model. The record is from RNAcentral.